Molecule: long non-coding RNA, 843 nt
Filed under: Marmota monax (woodchuck)
Lineage: Eukaryota; Metazoa; Chordata; Mammalia; Rodentia; Sciuridae
Source: RNAcentral
GUUAGAGAGAAGGGAAGAUGGCCCAUAAUUUAAGCACAAAUGCCCCAAGUGCCCGCUCUCCUAUGUGCUCUGUGGGUUUCUGGCCUGUGGCUGACCCAGUUAUGGGUGCGAUUUGUGUCUCUGGGAUGCCCUUCCUUCCCUUUGCUUUCCCAUGAUAUAGGUGCCUGGCCCUGAGCAUAGGUUCAAGUACAAGCCUGUGUCACAACACCUCAGAGGCUCCACCCCUGGGUUCUUGUUCUGGGUGACAACUUAGGAAGAGCACAGUUUUGCUGCUGACCUAUCUAGUUAGGGAGGCAGGUGUUCCCCAGUGGUUUCUAGCCCCAGCUCCUGCUCCUCAUCACAGCCAGCCAUCUGUCUUGUCAGGUAGACUUGUCUCUGAAGACUGCUUUGUGGAAGAGCAGGUGGAUUUCGGUCAGCUGCUCCUUCUUUCUAGAGGCAAGCAGUGGUCAACCACCCCACAUUCCUGCCAGUCUCCUGCCCCCAGCAUUGGGCUUUGAUGGACAUUUAGUGUCCUUCCCUGGUUUUCUGUUACUGGCAUAGGAAGUUAGUUGAGAGAAAGGAGGGUAGCUUUGGAAAACCUGCCUUUCACUCUUCCUGCUCGCCUUCAUGUACUUCAGAGCAGAUCUUUACACCGUUCGCUCUAGAGCCUGGUGACCUCCUUGGUUCCAGACCUCUGGGUCACUGUGUACAAGCCCAUGCCACCAACUUCACUGUCACCACAAUCUGAAGCACACUACUCCUAAUGUUCACUGGGUCAGAGCCCAUAGGCAGUAGCCUUCUUUUCUGCCUUACUGAGUCUGCCUAGAUAUUUAUUUCCUGGGUUUCUUUUUAUGAAUAGGUAAG